ACAUAAAUAUUCACAAACAUUUCCAAUUUCCAAGAAAGUGGAAGAGACACAAUGUUUCAUUGUGGAUUCAAUUUUCUGUUGUGUGGUGAGCAUCCUAUGCAUUAGUUAGCAAGAUUUCUUCUCUAUCUGAACUUCAUUUAAACAAUUGUGUGCUCCAUAAUGCUACUCAGAAAUCUAUUUCCCAUUUGAAUUCUUCUGUUACUCUAAAAUUCAUCCAUUUGAAAAACUUAUUGGAAUUCUUUCUACCAAAAAGAUGGUUUUUUGAUAGGUCAAGUGAUUCCAAUAUUGGCUAAUGCUACAAGUUUUGCUAUACUUUUGGGUAUCUCUCAUGAUAAUCGGUUUUAUAACAUGUGCAAUCUAUCAUUUACUGGAUCACUCUAUAAACAAUCUUAUAAGGGAAAUACCAGUGUUUUGGUGACUUAAGAGCCUUAUCAAAUUCUACAUUUUCAAGAGAAAGCUUUCACCAUUUCUCAUCAUCAUUUCUCUAUAUAGAAAGUGACAAAGCUUUCUCCUUUAAUGAUGAUGAAAUACUAGCUUGGAAAGGAUCAAACAGAUAAUAUUAUGAAAACCAUUGAUCUUUCUUGCAACCAAUUAUCUGUUUCAUCCUUUCCAAGCUAGUAUCUCAUCAUCAUUAAAGGAGAUAGCUUUGUCACUUUCUAUAUAGAGAAAUGAUGAUGAGAAAUGGUGAAAGCUUUCUCUUGAAAGUGUUGAAUUUGAUAAGGCUCUUAAAUCACCAAAACACUGUGGUAUUUCCCUUAUAAUAUUGUUUAUAGAGAGAUCCAGUACUUGAAGAAAUGAUAGAUUGCACAUGUUAUAAAACCAACUAUCCAGAUGAUGUGAUUUCUUCGACUGGAAGCCAUGAGAAACAUGACACAAGUGAAGAUGAAGAUAAGCUCAUUACCUUUGAGUUUUAUGUUAGCCUGGAGCUUGGUUUUAUAAAAACAUCAUGGAGACAUGCAUAUUUCAAAUUUUUCAACAACAUCAAUAAUUGGAUUCAACUCACACUAGCUGUUUUUGUAAUUAAUUUGAAAAAGAGAUUCAAAGUCGAAAACUAACAGGUAAAGCUUCUUGACUCGAGGAAGUGAUAUGUCACAAUGUGUUCGUCAAUAUAUGUUUCAUUCGGAAUGUGUAUGUUGAAGUCUAGAUUAUUCUUUAGGCACUCUUUUUCUAUUGUUCUGUCUCUCUUGAUUAUGAAAUUUCUAAUUAAUGUAUUAUAAAAA
Molecule: long non-coding RNA, 1220 nt
Organism: Vicia villosa (hairy vetch)
Lineage: Eukaryota; Viridiplantae; Streptophyta; Magnoliopsida; Fabales; Fabaceae
Exons: 2
Source: RefSeq, a predicted model, not a curated record